Long non-coding RNA from Saccostrea echinata, 358 nucleotides. RefSeq lists it as uncharacterized. NCBI's taxonomy places the organism in Eukaryota, Metazoa, Mollusca, Bivalvia, Ostreida, Ostreidae. The transcript has 3 exons. The record is from RefSeq and is a predicted model, not a curated record.
GGCAUAGGAGGCCACUUCCUGGGGUGCACACAGGAUGUUUAUAAACACAUUGAAUACACGUGGUUUUGAGGGUAUUCCUGUUUGCGGAUGGAGAAAAUCAGAAAAUGCCGUGAACUAUUUCUUUCGGGGCAUAGGAGGCCACUUCCUGGGGUGCACACAGGAUGUUUAUAAACACAUUGAAUACACGUGGUUUUGAGGGUAUUCCUGUUUGCGGAUGGAGAAAAUCAGAAAAUGCCGUGAACUAUUUCUUUCGGGGCAUAGGAGGCCACUUCCUGGGGUGCACACAGGAUGUUUAUAAACACAUUGAAUACACGUGGUUUUGAGGGUAUUCCUGUUUGCGGAUGGAGAAAAUCAGAAA